This is a long non-coding RNA of Sarcophilus harrisii (Tasmanian devil), 525 nucleotides long. RefSeq lists it as uncharacterized. NCBI's taxonomy places the organism in Eukaryota, Metazoa, Chordata, Mammalia, Dasyuromorphia, Dasyuridae. The record is from RefSeq and is a predicted model, not a curated record. The transcript is spliced from 3 exons.
AUAGCCUCCUGAGUCCUACAUCUUCACUCUUCACCCAAAAUCAGGGCUCAGGCUAUUAUUGAAGUCCUCCUAUGAGCAGAUCUGGACAUGUCAUGCCCAAUGUGGGGCAUGAAGCAGUUUGACUGAUGUGAAGAGUGUGAGUUUGGGUGGGGAAUCCCCAGUAGCCAGAAACAAGAUGAAGAAGGAAUCUUAUGGGUGCUGACAUACAUAACCACCUUGUCCAUUGGAGAGAGAUGGAAAAACAGAAGACCCAGGAAAUAUCAUGUGGUUCCAUCUUUGACUAUGGCCACUACUUUAAAAAUUACAUCUUGAAAAAUGCCAAGCUGGAUGAAUUAAAACCAGAAUUAAGGUUUCCCAGAGAAACAUGAACAAUCUUAGAUAUUCAGAUAUCAUUCUGAUGGCAGAAAAUGAAGAUGAUUUAAGAAAACUUUUGAUCAAGGUGAAAGAGAAAGUGCAAAAUCUAUCUUGAAGAUUAACAUUAAAAAAACAAGAUCUUAGUGAAUGAUCCCAUAACUUCUUGGAAAA